This 298-nucleotide ribosomal RNA is filed under the name Salmonella enterica subsp. enterica serovar Typhimurium var. 5-. RNAcentral describes it as "partial 23S ribosomal RNA". It matches the Rfam family "Bacterial large subunit ribosomal RNA", at positions 510 to 709 of the family's 2925-position model. The record is from RNAcentral. Lineage: Bacteria; Pseudomonadati; Pseudomonadota; Gammaproteobacteria; Enterobacterales; Enterobacteriaceae.
AAAGGCGAAAAGAACCCCGGGAGGGGAGUGAAAAAGAACCUGAAACCGUGUACGUACAAGCAGUGGGAGCCCCACCACCAAAGCAUUCUCUGGUGUUGAAGGCCCUGCAAAGCAGCAUCGCGGUGGCGGAGCGUCGUUUGCGACGCCCAACACACAAAACAAGCGGUGAAUGCUUUGUGGUGGGGUGACUGCGUACCUUUUGUAUAAUGGGUCAGCGACUUAUAUUCUGUAGCAAGGUUAACCGAAUAGGGGAGCCGGAGGGAAACCGAGUCUUAAUUGGGCGUUAAGUUGCAGGGUA